Molecule: small RNA, 27 nt
Filed under: Bombyx mori (domestic silkworm)
Lineage: Eukaryota; Metazoa; Arthropoda; Insecta; Lepidoptera; Bombycidae
Description: ovarian small RNA-28621
Source: RNAcentral
UCGCAUCAGCGUUGGCUCUGCUGGCGA